GACGAACGCUGGCGGCGUGCUUAACACAUGCAAGUCGAACGGAAAGGCCCUGCCUUUGUGGGGUGCUCGAGUGGCGAACGGGUGAGUAACACGUGAGUAACCUGCCCUUGACUUUGGGAUAACUUCAGGAAACUGGGGCUAAUACCUGAUAGGAGCUCCUGCUGCAUGGUGGGGGUUGGAAAGUUUCGGCGGUUGGGGAUGGACUCGCGGCUUAUCAGCUUGUUGGUGGGGUAGUGGCUUACCAAGGCUUUGACGGGUAGCCGGCCUGAGAGGGUGACCGGCCACAUUGGGACUGAGAUACGGCCCAGAGUCCUACGGGAGGCAGCAGUGGGGAAUAUUGCACAAUGGGCGGAAGCCUGAUGCAGCAACGCCGCGUGCGGGAUGACGGCCUUCGAGUUGUAAACCGCUUUCGCCUGUGACGAAGCGUGAGUGACGGUAAUGGGUAAAGAAGCACCGGCUAACUACGUG
RNAcentral lists this ribosomal RNA (468 nucleotides) under uncultured bacterium. Its description in RNAcentral is "partial 16S ribosomal RNA". It matches the Rfam family "Bacterial small subunit ribosomal RNA", at positions 28 to 507 of the family's 1533-position model. The record is from RNAcentral.